UGCUAAAGCGGCACCUGAUGGUGAUGUGAACACAAACCAAUACCGUCUAGGAGGACGUGGUAGGGCUUGCCUGUUGAGCCCAGCUUCCUGAAGCCACCUGACAUGGAGCCAGACGAGAGCUAGUGCCAGCAGAAGAAAGGAGUGGCAGGAGCUGAGGAAUUGGCUGUGGUAGCAGAAAGAGCAUCCAAGGCUGAGGGAAAGGCAUCGUACAUGCUGCUGAGAUCAAAUCCCAUUGUGAGCUUCAUACUUCCUCUGUGAACUGUCUGGAGAACCAAGAAAGAGAUGGAAACAGGGCAGAAGUGGAUACAUGGGGCAUGUACUGAAUUAGCCCAUCCUGGUCUGGUUUCAUCCAUGGCUUCGAAAGAGCCUCUACUGGAUUAUGACAUGCAAGACUGGAUAAAGAAAUCAGCGAGCGGACAAUUCCAAACUCCCUCCAGCAUAAAACUAGAAGCUCUAAUUGUGUUUUCCUUCCAUUUCUGAUUCUUCCAGAAUUGGAAGAUUGAAUAGAAUAUCUCUAUUGGACAUAUCUAGAUUGAUGAACUGACAGCACUGGAAACUUCAUUAUCAAUUUAGAGAGUGAAUACUAGGGACUGAAAGGAUUCAUUUUUCACUCACUUUGCCCUUCUAAUAUCAAUUGUCCCCUUCAGCUUUUCCUCACUAUCAUUCUCAAAGUACAUCAGCUUGGAUUCUCGAAGCACAAACCAGCGGCGUUUCCAGUUACGGCGUGAAAGCGUUGACAUGCCUCCUCCUUUUUUGUAGAGCCAGCCUGACUUCAGUGCUUCUUGCUUGGUUCUGAACCACAUGAAUGCUUCGUUCUUCAGAACACACCAGCGCCUCCUCCAUGGGUUCAUCAGACCUCCUGCAAAGAGAGAGGCAAGACUUCACCAGACAAACAACAAGGAAAAAUUCUCCAUUAUGAUCCUGCUUCUCGGACACUUAGUUGCCAGUUCAGUUUCGACAUGCAAAAAAGGAGCUGAGAGAGAUAAACAAGACUAAGUUUGGACAGAGAAAAAGCAGAAAUAACUAGUGAAAUAAGCAUAAAAUAUAAAGAAGUCACUGUUCCUUAUGCCCUCCUUUUUACACAGUCAUAUAGUUGAGGGUUGUUGUACGAAGAGGCAGAUAAAACUGACUUCCGGUCAUGGCUUUUACUCUUUCUCUGCUAGAUUAUUCCAGCAUCAAACUUACAAACACUAUAUACAGGCACUAAAUAUAAGUACAUACUAGACAAAUUUAUAAGCAUGUAAGUUUAUAUACUAUAUAUACAUACUACAUAUAUAAAAGAAAAUAUAUAUAUGUUUGUAUAUGUAACAUUGUAAGACAUUGUAGAAGCCACUGCUUUGCUAACGGC
Rhea pennata is the source of this 1348-nucleotide long non-coding RNA. RefSeq lists it as uncharacterized. Lineage: Eukaryota; Metazoa; Chordata; Aves; Rheiformes; Rheidae. The record is from RefSeq and is a predicted model, not a curated record. The transcript is spliced from 3 exons.